This is a non-coding RNA of Gekko japonicus, 66 nucleotides long. The record is from the annotation of a RefSeq genome assembly. Lineage: Eukaryota; Metazoa; Chordata; Lepidosauria; Squamata; Gekkonidae.
AUGGCCCUAGUAAAAAUUACAUAGCUCUGUCAGUGCUAAAUUAUAGGCUCAUGCCUUUGCGCCAUU